UGCUACAGCAUUUUAACCCGGCUCGGCAGUGUAAAGACAGCUUAAGUUAGCCUAAUGUUAGACAAUGAAUGAGUAUGUACAUAACGUUACUUUUAUAACAACCAUUUUUUAUUCAGUAAGUGUUAUAGUUGACGUGGCCCAGGUGCCAACUGACUGACGUCACACAGGCGACACUGGUUGGAUCUACGGGAACAGCUGUGGAAGUAUGGGUUUUCUUCAUUCUUUUAAUGUUUUUACAUUUCUUCUUAUUAAAGAUUGUACUGAUCAAGAAUAUAUUUAAAUGUAUGUGAUUAUGGGAUGAUCUCUGAAGAACAAUAGGUAUUCUGUGUUAUGUCUAUGUUAAAAAGGCUGUCCUGUUCCUUUAAGAGGUGGGGGCUGAUUAACCAAUCACUGGCCGGAAGCGGGAGUGCCUCCUGAAUCGCGCGAGAAGAAAAUUAGAGGAAAAAACGGGAGCUCCGGUACAGCAUAGCCGAACGCAAGUUCACAAGAAUUUUUAGCUUAACGUUCUCUGUUCUGUUUUCUGUAAUAAGGCUAGUUAAGGUGUUUUGUGCGUUCAUGAAACCGUAAAUUGCCUUCCGGGUUUCCCGACCGUUGCAUUUACUGUUCUGUAACUAAGCAUUGUGCCGUUGUAAUCGGUUUGAGCCUGUUUACCGUGUGCAUUGACUAAUGCUAGAUGGCGUAAAGAGUAUUAAUAAUGCUUAGGAUUUUAUAUAGUAAAUGGAUCGCCCUUUUUGUGAGGUAUUUAUGUUUAUGGAUGCAUAAUGGAAGCGAAAUUAGUAGUUAGUUUAUCGCUAGUGCCAUUAAGUAAGGUACGUUAAUCUGGGGAGUUGACCUACUUUCGGUCACUUGCGCAUGCGCAUUUAGCGCCCAUGUGCCUUGCACGCGGAGGUGCAUACUUUAGUCUCGUGUACUGUAUGCGAAUAUCGCUUCUUAGGCAGAGAGGGAUCUGGGGAGUGUAUUUUAUAGGUUAUCUUACAGACUGUAGGUUAAUUAGAUUAAUAGUGAAUAUACAUGUUAUGUUUAGGUAGAUAUUAUUGGCAACAUGUAUAUUGUAAAGGGUCUAUUAUGUACAACUAAUUCUGUAUUUUAUAUUUUGUUUAUAUUUGUAGAGAACACACAUAAACACCCACACACACCCAGAUACAAAGCUAUUGCACCUUGAUCAAUGCCAAUAAAACCCUUCAUUGCAACUACGGCCUGGUCAUUGGAACCCCACCAAUAAGCAAAGCCAGAGUUCUGACCGACUCUCCACAGUGUUUUGAACCAUCCAUUCACCAGCACAGUAAACUAUUUUUCAGUCU
Molecule: long non-coding RNA, 1301 nt
Organism: Anguilla rostrata (American eel)
Lineage: Eukaryota; Metazoa; Chordata; Actinopteri; Anguilliformes; Anguillidae
Exons: 2
Source: RefSeq, a predicted model, not a curated record